AGUGAACGCUGGCGGCAGGCCUAAUACAUGCAAGUCGAACGGCAGCACGGCAGAGCUUGCUCUGUGGGUGGCGAGUGGCGGACGGGUGAGGAAUACAUGGGAAUCUGCCCAGUCGUGGGGGAUAACGUAGGGAAACUUACGCUAAUACCGCAUGCGCCCUUCGGGGGAAAGCCGGGGACCUUCGGGCCUGGCGCGAUUGGAUGAGCCCAUGUCGGAUUAGCUAGUUGGCGGGGUAACGGCCCACCAAGGCGACGAUCCGUAGCUGGUCUGAGAGGAUGAUCAGCCACACUGGAACUGAGACACGGUCCAGACUCCUACGGGAGGCAGCAGUAGGGAAUAUUGGACAAUGGGCGCAAGCCUGAUCCAGCCAUGCCGCGUGAGUGAAGAAGGCCUUCGGGUUGUAAAGCUCUUUUACCAGGGAUGAUAAUGACAGUACCUGGAGAAUAAGCUCCGGCUAACUCCGUG
Molecule: ribosomal RNA, 465 nt
Filed under: uncultured bacterium
Lineage: Bacteria
Description: bacterial SSU rRNA
Rfam family: Bacterial small subunit ribosomal RNA
Source: RNAcentral